Molecule: long non-coding RNA, 3374 nt
Filed under: Brassica napus (rape)
Lineage: Eukaryota; Viridiplantae; Streptophyta; Magnoliopsida; Brassicales; Brassicaceae
Description: long non-coding RNA (BNAP_LNC007438)
Source: RNAcentral
AUUUUUAAAAAGAACCUAUUGAUCAAAUAUUCUGAAACAAUGCUCAUCUAUCAACAAAAACUCUUGUAAACCUAAUUUCUAAAUCAAAAUACCAAAUCUACAAUAUUUGCCUACAAAAAUGAUAACUUUCCCAAAAUAGCAGUUUUUUAAAAGAUUAUUUUUAAAAAGAACCUAUUGAUCAAAUAUUAUAAAAGAAUGUUCAUCUAUCAACAAAAACUCUAGUUAUCUGAAUUUCUAAAUUACAAUCCAAAAUUUUCAAUAUUUUUCUACAAAAAUGUUAACUUUAGUAAAAUAGCAGUUUUUAGAAAAUUUAUUUAAAAAAUGCAUUCUAAUGAUAAAAAAUUCUAAAAAAUGCUCAUCUACUAAAAAAACUCAUGUAAUCCUAAUUUCUAAAUCAAAAUACCAAAUCUACAAUAUUUGUCUACAAAAAUGAUAACUUUCCCAAAAUAGUAGUUUUUAAAAAAAUGAUUUUUAAAAAGAACCUAUUGAUCAAAUAUUAUAAAAGAAUAUUAAUCUAUCAACAAAAACUCUUGUUAUCUGAAUUUCUAAAUUACAAUCCCAAGUCUUCAAUAUUUCUCUACAAAAAUGAUAACUUUCCUAAAAUAGCAGUUUUUAGAAAAUUUAUUUAAAAAUACUUUCUAAAAAUAAAAAAUUCUAAAAAAUGCUCAUCUAUUAAAAAACCUCUUGUAAUCCUAAUUUCUAAAUCAAAAUACCAAAUGAACAAUAUUUGUCUACAGAAAUGAUAACUUUUCCAAAAUAGCAGUUUUUUAAAAAAUUAUUUUAAAAAAGAACCUAUUGAUCAAAUAUUCUAAAAGAAUGUCCAUCUAUCAACAAAAACUAUUGUUAUCUGAAUUUCUAAAUUACAAUCCCAAAUCUUCAAUAGUUCUGUACAAAAAUUCUAACUUUCCUAAAAUAGCAGUUUUUAGAAAAUUUAUUUUAAAAAUACAUUCUAAUGAUAAAAAAUUCUAAAAAAUGCUCAUCUAUUAAAAAAACUCUUGUAAUCCUAAUUUCUAAAUCAAAAUACCAAAUCUACAAUAUUUGUCUACAAAAAUGAUAACUUUCCCAAAAUAGCAGUUUUUAAAAAAAUUAUUUUAAAAAAGAACCUAUUGAUCAAAUAUUCUAAAAAAAUGCUCAUCUAUCAACAAAAACUCUUGUAAUCCUUGUUUCUAAAUCAAGAUACCAAAUCUACAAUAUUUGUCUACAAAAAUGAUAACUUUCCCAAAAUAGCAGUUUUUAAAAAAAUUAUUUUUAAAAAAGAACCUAUUGAUCAAAUAUUCUAAAAGAAUGCUCAUCUAUCAACAAAAAUUCUUGUAAUCCUAGUUUCUAAAUAAAGAUACCAAAUCUACAAUAUUUGUCUACAAAAAUGAUAACUUUCCUAAAAUAGCAGUUUUUAGAAAACUAAUUUUAAAAAUGAACCUAUUGAUCAAAUAUUCUAAAAGAAUGUCUAUCUAUCAACAAAAACUCUUGUUAUCUUACUUUCUAAAUUACAAUCUCAAAUCUACAAUAUUUUUCUACAAAAUGAUAAGUUUCCUAAAAUAGCAGUUUUUAGAAAAUUUAUUUAAAAAAUACAACCUAAUGAUAAAAAAUUCUAAAAAAAUGCUCAUCUAUCAACAAAAACUCUUGUAAUCCUAAUUUCUAAAUCAAAAUACCAAAUCUACAAUAUUUGUCUACAAAGAUGAUAACUUUCCAAAAAUAGCAGUUUUUUAAAAAAUUAUUUUUAAAGAAAACCUACAGAUCAAAUAUUCUAAAAGAAUGUCCAUCUAUCAAUAAAAACUCUUGUUAUCUGAAUUUCUAAAUUACAAUUUCAAAUCUUCAAUAUUUCUUUACAAAAAUGAUAAUUUUUCCAAAAUAGCAGUUUUUAGAAAAUUUAUUUAAAAAAUACAUUCUAAUGAUAAAUUUUUUUAAAAAAAUGCUCAUAUAUUAAAAAAACACUUGUAAUCCUAAUUUCUAAAUCAAAAUACCAAAUCUACAAUAUUUGUCUACAAAAAUGAUAACUUUCCAUAAAUAGCAGUUUUAAAAAAAAAUUAUUUUUAAAAAGAACCUAUUGAUCAAAUAUUCUAAAAGAAUGCUCAUCUAUCAACAAAAACUCUUGUAAUCCUAGUUUCUAAAUCAAGAUAGCAAAUCUACAAUAUUUGUCUACAAAAAUGGUAACUUUGCCAAAAUAGAAGUUUUUUGAAAACUAAUUUUCAAAAAGAACCUAUUGAUCAAAUAUUCUAAAUAAAUGUCUAUCUAUCUACAAAAACUCUUGUUAUCCUACUUCUAAAUUACAAUCUCAAAUCUACAAUAUUUCUCUACAAAAAUGAUAACUUUCCUAAAAUAGCAGUUUUUAAAAAAAUUAUUUUAAAAAAGAACCUAUUGAUCAAAUAUUCUAAAAGAAUGUCCAUCUAUCAACAAAAACUCUUGUUAUCUGAAUUUCUAAAUUACAAUCCCAAAUCUUCAAUAUUUCUCUACAAAAAUGAUAACUUUCCUAAAAUAGCAGGUUUUAGAAAAUGUAUUUAAAAAAUACAUUCUAGUGGUAAAAAAUUCUAAAAAAUGCUCAUCUAUUAAAAAAACUCUUGCAAUCCUAAUUUCUAAAUCAAAAUACCAAAUCUACAAUAUUUGCCUCCAAAAAUGAUAACUUUCCCAAAAUAGCAGUUUUUUAAAAAAAUAUUUUAAAAAAGUACCUAUUGAUCAAAUAUUCUAAAAGAAUGUCCAUCUAUCAACAAAAACUCUUGUUAUCUGAAUUUCUAAAUUACAAUCCCAAAUCUUCAAUAUUUCUCUACAAAAAUUCUAACUUUCCUAAAAUAGCAGUUUUUAGAAAAUUGAUUUAAAAAAUACAUUCUAAUUAUAAAAAAUUCUAAAAAAUGCUCAUAUAUUAAAAAAACACUUGUUAUCCUAAUUUCUAAAUCAAAAUACCAAAUCUACAAUAUUUGUCUACAAAAAUGAUAACUUUCCCAAAAUAGCAGUUUUUUAAAAUAUUAUUUUAAAAAAGAACCUAUUGAUCAAAUAUUCUAAAAGAAUGUUCAUCUAUCAACAAAAACUAUUGUUAUCUGAAUUUCUAAAUUACAAUCCCAAAUCCUCAAUAUUUCUCUACAAAAAUGAUAACUUUCCUAAAAUAGCAGCUUUUAGAAAAUUUAUUUAAAAAAUACAUUCUAAUGAUAAAAAAUUCCAAAAAAUGCUCAUAUAUUAAAAAAACACUUGUAAUUCUAAUUUCUAAAUCAAAAUACCAAAUCUACAAUAUUUGUCUACAAAGAUGAUAACUUUCCAAAAGUAGUAGUUUUUUUAAAAAAUAUUUUAAAAAAGAACCUAUUGAUCAAAUAUUCUAAAAGAAUGUCCAUCUAUCAACAAAAACUCUUGUUAUCUGAAUUUCUAAAUUACAAUCCCAAAUCUUCAAU